UCACCAGUGAGGUGUAUCCUUUCCUGUUCCUGCAGCAAUGUCAGCCGCAGAGCGUGAUGAAUGGAGAGCAGUGAGCCGGUGAUUAAGCGCUCCUUCUCGGUCGGGGAUUGUAACUCUGCUCCGAGACCAUUCUGAU
This is a small nucleolar RNA of Polyodon spathula (Mississippi paddlefish), 136 nucleotides long. RefSeq annotates it as U8 small nucleolar RNA. The record is from RefSeq and is a predicted model, not a curated record. NCBI's taxonomy places the organism in Eukaryota, Metazoa, Chordata, Actinopteri, Acipenseriformes, Polyodontidae. The transcript has a single exon.